GACGAACGCUGGCGGCGUGCUUAACACAUGCAAGUCGAACGGAAAGGCCCUGCUUUUGUGGGGUGCUCGAGUGGCGAACGGGUGAGUAACACGUGAGUAACCUGCCCUUGACUUUGGGAUAACUUCAGGAAACUGGGGCUAAUACCGGAUAGGAGCUCCUGCUGCAUGGUGGGGGUUGGAAAGUUUCGGCGGUUGGGGAUGGACUCGCGGCUUAUCAGCUUGUUGGUGGGGUAGUGGCUUACCAAGGCUUUGACGGGUAGCCGGCCUGGGAGGGUGACCGGCCACAAUGGGACUGAGGUACGGCCCAGACUCCUACGGGGGGCAGCAGUGGGGAGUAUUGCACAGUGGGCGGAAGCCUGAUGCAGCAGCGCCGCGUGCGGGAUGACGGCCUUCGGGUUGUAAACCGCUUUCGCCUGUGACGAAGCGUGAGUGACGGUAAUGGGUGAAGAAGCACCGGCUAACUACGUG
Molecule: ribosomal RNA, 468 nt
Filed under: uncultured bacterium
Lineage: Bacteria
Description: partial 16S ribosomal RNA
Rfam family: Bacterial small subunit ribosomal RNA
Source: RNAcentral